UCAAGCUGAAAAGAGCGCAAGGGGAAUGCCUUGGCAUCAGGAGCCGACGAAGGACGUGACAAGCUGCGAUAAGCCACGGGGAGGAGCAAAUAUCCGUUAUAUCCGUGGAUUUCCGAAUGGGGGAACCCGCUCAAGCAAUACUUGAGCAUCGUGCGUUGAAUCAAAUAGGCGUACGAAGGGAACGGCCUGAACUGAAACAUCUAAGUAGGGCCAGGAAAAGACAUCAACCGAGAUUCCGCUAGUAGUGGCGAGCGAACGCGGAGGAGGCCAAACCGAGGGACGCAAGUUCUUCGGGGUUGCGGACAGACAUCAUGACCAGAGGAAAUUAAGAGAACGGCGUGGGAAAGCCGGCCACAGAAGGUGAGAGCCCUGUAUCUGAAAAUGAAGACUGGCAGUCUGGAUCCAGAGUACCGCGGGACACGUGAAACCCCGUGGGAAACCGGGUGGACCACCAUCCAAGCCUAAAUACUACCUGAUGACCGAUAGAGGAGCAGUACCGUGAGGGAAAGGUGAAAAGGACCCCGGGAGGGGAGUGAAAGAGAACCUGAAACCUUGUGCUUACAAGCAGUCAAAGCACGUUAAAGUGUGAUGACGUACUUUUUGUAGAACGGUCCGGCGAGUUAUAGUAACGAGCAAGCUUAAGGUAUUGAGUACCGGAGGCGAAGCGAGAGCGAGUCUGAAUAGGGCGUAAAGUUCGUUGCCAUAGACCCGAAACCGGGUGACCUAUCCAUGAGCAGGCUGAAGUGAGAGUAAAAUCUCAUGGAGGGCCGAACCGACCCCCGUUGCAAUGGUGGCGGAUGACUUGUGGAUAGCGGAGAAAUUCCAAUCGAACUCGGAGAUAGCUGGUUCUCCCCGAAAUAGCUUUAGGGCUAGCGUUAUGUUAGAUUACCGGAGGUAAAGCACUGAAUGGUGGCGGGGCCGAUAAGGUUACCAAGACCUAUCAAACUCUGAAUGCCGGAUAAUUGAUGCAUAGCAGUCAGACAGCGUGAGAUAAGUUUCGUUGUCAAAAGGGAAACAGCCCAGACCCACAGCUAAGGUCCCAAAUUCAUGCUAAGUGGAAAACGAUGUGGAAUUGCGAAAACAACCAGGAUGUUGGCUUAGAAGCAGCCACUCAUUAAAAGAGUGCGUAAUAGCUCACUGGUCGAGUGACUCUGCGCGGAAAAUAUAACGGGGCUAAGCAUGAAACCGAAGCUUGGGCUUGUACUUAGGUACAGGGGUAGGGGAGCGUCGAGUAUGGGGUGAAGUCAGAGCGGAAGCACUGGUGGACUGUACUCGAGUGAGAAUGCCGGAAUGAGUAGCGAGAAUUAUGUGGGAAUCAUAAUGGCCGAAAAUCUAAGGUUUCUUGGGGAAGGUUCGUCCGCCCAAGGUAAGUCGGGAGCUAAGCUCAGGCCGAGAGGCGUAGGCGAUGCACAUACGGUAGAAAUUCCGUAACCACCGAAACUUAAACAGAGGGACACUUCGAAAUAGCGGAACCCGGGCGUUGGUUGACCCGGGCGAAAGGGAGCGAAAUUAGAGUAGCGAAGUCCGCGAUGUUCGGAGGCGAGAAAAGCUCUGAGGUAUGCUAAGGUGCCCGUACCGCAAACCGACACAGGUAGAUGAGGAGAGAAUCCUAAGGCCAACGGGAGAAGGGUUGUUAAGGAACUCGGCAAAUUGACCCCGUAACUUCGGAAGAAGGGGAGCCCCCUACGGGGGGUCGCAGAGAAAUGGCCCAAGCAACUGUUUACCAAAAACACAGGUCUAUGCUAAAUCGAAAGAUGACGUAUAUGGGCUGACGCCUGCCCGGUGCCGGAAGGUUAAGAGGAGAUGUCAGGCAACGAAGCAUUGAAUUUAAGCCCCGGUAAACGGCGGCCGUAACUAUAACGGUCCUAAGGUAGCGAAAUUCCUUGUCAGGUAAGUUCUGACCCGCACGAAUGG
This 1914-nucleotide ribosomal RNA is filed under the name human gut metagenome. RNAcentral's name for it is "bacterial LSU rRNA". It matches the Rfam family "Bacterial large subunit ribosomal RNA", at positions 3 to 1999 of the family's 2925-position model. The record is from RNAcentral.